GAUGAACGCUAGCGGCAGGCUUAACACAUGCAAGUCGAGGGGUAUAGAGAGCUUGCUUUCUAGAGACCGGCGCACGGGUGCGUAACGCGUAUGCAAUCUACCUUUCACAAAGGGAUAGCCCAGAGAAAUUUGGAUUAAUACCUUAUAGUAUUACAGAAUGGCAUCAUUUUGUAAUUAAAGAUUUAUCGGUGAAAGAUGAGCAUGCGUCCCAUUAGUUAGUUGGUAAGGUAACGGCUUACCAAGACUACGAUGGGUAGGGGUCCUGAGAGGGAGAUCCCCCACACUGGUACUGAGACACGGACCAGACUCCUACGGGAGGCAGCAGUGAGGAAUAUUGGACAAUGGGCGCAAGCCUGAUCCAGCCAUGCCGCGUGCAGGAUGACGGUCCUAUGGAUUGUAAACUGCUUUUAUACAGGAAGAAACCCUCCGACGUGUCGGAGCUUGACGGUACUGUAAGAAUAAGGAUCGGCUAACUCCGUG
Molecule: ribosomal RNA, 480 nt
Filed under: uncultured organism
Description: bacterial SSU rRNA
Rfam family: Bacterial small subunit ribosomal RNA
Source: RNAcentral